CGGCGGGCGGCGAGCGGCGCGCACAAUCCUCGCUCGGCUGCGGCUCCCGGGUGUCCCAGGCCCGGCCGGUAAGCAGAGCAUGGCGGGUGCGGGCCCGAAGCGGCGCGCGCUAGCGGCCCCGGUGGCCGAGGAGAAGGAAGAGGCGCGGGAGAAGAUGAUGGCCGCCAAGCGCGCGGACGGCGCGGCGCCGGCAGGCGAGGGCGAGGGCGUGACCCUGCAGGGGAACAUCACGCUACUCAAGGGCGUGGCCGUCAUCGUGGUCGCCAUCAUGAGCUCGGGCAUCUUCGUGACGCCCACGGGCGUGCUCAAGGAGGCAGGCUCGCCGGGGCUGGCGCUGGUGGUGUGGGCCGCGUGCGGCGUCUUCUCCAUCGUGGGCGCGCUCUGCUACGCGGAGCUGGGCACCACCAUCUCCAAAUCGGGCGGCGACUACGCCUACAUGCUGGACGUCUACGGCUCGCUGCCCGCCUUCCUCAAGCUCUGGAUCGAGCUGCUCAUCAUCCGGCCUUCAUCGCAGUACAUCGUGGCCCUGGUCUUCGCCACCUACCUGCUCAAGCCGCUCUUCCCCACCUGCCCGGUGCCCGAGGAGGCAGCCAAGCUCGUAGCCUGCCACUCCGUGCAACUGAUAGUGCAUCAGCCGACCCAGGUAAUUUAAAAUAUUCUUCAUCCAGAGAUAGAGGUGGUUCUUCCUCUUACGGACUGCAACCUUCAAAUUCAGCUGUGGUGUCUCGGCAAAGGCACGAUGAUACCAGAGUCCACGCUGACAUACAGAAUGACGAAAAGGAGAGAUCAAUGUCUUAUUGUGAUGAGUCUCGACUGUCAAAUCUUCUUCAGAGGAUCACCCGGGAAAACGACCGAGACCGAAGAUUGGCUACUGUAAAGCAGUUGAAAGAAUUUAUUCAGCAACCAGAAAAUAAGCUGGUACUAGUUAAACAAUUGGAUAUCUUGGCUGCUGUACAUGAUGUGCUUAAUGAAAGUAGCAAAUUGCUUCAGGAGUUGAGACAGGAGGGAGCUUGCUGUCUCGGCCUUCUUUGUGCUUCUCUGAGCUAUGAGGCUGAGAAGAUCUUCAAGUGGAUUUUUAGCAAAUUUAGCUCAUCUGCAAAAGAUGAAGUUAAACUCCUCUACUUAUGUGCCACCUACAAAGCACUAGAGACUGUAGGAGAAAAGAAAGCCUUUUCAUCUGUAAUGCAGCUUGUAAUGACCAGCCUGCAGUCAAUUCUUGAAAAUGUGGAUACACCAGAAUUGCUUUGCAAAUGUGUUAAGUGCAUUCUUUUGGUGGCUCGAUGUUACCCUCAUAUUUUCAGCACUAAUUUUAGGGAUACAGUUGGUAUAUUAGUUGGAUGGCAUAGAGAUCAUACUCAGAAACCUUCGCUCACGCAGCAGGUAUCUGGGUGGUUGCAGAGUUUGGAGCCAUUUUGGGUAGCUGAUCUUGCAUUUUCUACGCCUCUACUUGGUCAGUUUCUAGAAGACAUGGAAGCAUAUGCUGAGGACCUCAGCCAUGUGGCCUCUGGGGAAUCAGUGGAUGAAGACGUCCCUCCUCCAUCAGUGUCAUUACCAAAGCUGGCUGCGCUUCUCCGGGUAUUUAGUACUGUGGUGAGGAGCACUGGGGAAAGCCUCAGCCCAAUUCGGGCCCUCCAAUUACUGAGGCAUACGUAACAGAUGUUCUGUACAGAGUAAUGAGAUGUGUGACGGCUGCAAACCAGGUGUUUUUUUCUGAGGCUGUGUUGACAGCUGCUAAUGAGCGUGUUGGUGUUUUGCUCGGCAGCUUGGAUCCUAGCAUGACUAUACAUUGUGACAUGGUCAUUACAUAUGGAUUAGACCAACUGGAGAAUUGCCAGACUUGUGGUACCGAUUAUAUCAUCUCAGUCUUGAAUUUACUCACGCUGAUUGUUGAACAGAUAAAUACGAAACUGCCAUCAUCAUUUGUAGAAAAACUGUUUAUACCAUCAUCUAAACUACUAUUCUUGCGUUAUCAUAAAGAAAAAGAGGUUGUUGCUGUAGCCCGUGCUGUUUAUCAAGCAGUGCUCAGCUUGAAGAAUAUUCCUGUUUUGGAGACUGCCUAUAAGUUAAUAUUGGGAGAAAUGACUUGUGCCCUAAACAACCUCCUGCACAGUCUGCAGCUUCCUGAGUCCUGUUCUGAAAUAAAACAUGAGGCUUUUAAGAAUCAUGUGUUCAAUGUAGACAAUGCAAAAUUUGUAGUUAAAUUUGACCUCAAUUGACUACAAAAUUUGUAGUUAAAUUUGACUACAAUUGGAAAUGCCAAAAACUCACUAAUAGGGGUGAGUCUUUAAUUGUAAUGACUUUGUUUUAUCCACAUUACAUAUUUAUGUAUUUCACUGUUAUGUCAACAUGUCUGCAGAAUCACUGUAUGUAACAAACAGCCAUAUUUAAGACAUGCCUGGAUAAAUAAAAUUGGUAGGAAUGUUUUCUUGCCAUUAUAUUUAACUUUUCUUCUUUUUCCUUGACAAAUCUUGAUAAGUUUUUUUAUAUUAGUUUUAUUUUCUAGAAAAUGUCUUAUGAAUUUCUCCUAUUUGCUCUAGCAUGCUUACAGAAAAUGUCAGUGUUUCUUACAGCUCAAAUUUGUAUAGUUGUUUUAAAAUGCGGUCUCUUUCUUCUUCCCCUGGUACUUUUUUCUUUCUGUGUACUGAAGUUAGUUCUUAUACAUGGUCUUAUAUUUUGGCUGUCUGUUUUUCCCUAGGAACAUUCAUACAGGUUGAAUAUUCCUUAUCUGAAAUACUUGGGACUGGAAGUGUUUUCGAUUUUGGAUUUUGGAAUAC
This is a long non-coding RNA of Homo sapiens (human), 2774 nucleotides long. Lineage: Eukaryota; Metazoa; Chordata; Mammalia; Primates; Hominidae. The record is from Ensembl.